ACUCCUACGGGAGGCAGCAGUGGGGAAUUUUGGACAAUGGGCGAAAGCCUGAUCCAGCAAUGCCGCGUGAGUGAAGAAGGCCUUCGGGUUGUAAAGCUCUUUUGUCAGGGAAGAAACGGUGAAAGCUAAUAUCUUUUGCUAAUGACGGUACCUGAAGAAUAAGCACCGGCUAACUACGUGCCAGCAGCCGCGGUAAUACGUAGGGUGCAAGCGUUAAUCGGAAUUACUGGGCGUAAAGCGUGCGCAGGCGGUUUUGUAAGUCUGAUGUGAAAUCCCCGGGCUCAACCUGGGAAUUGCAUUGGAGACUGCAAGGCUAGAAUCUGGCAGAGGGGGGUAGAAUUCCACGUGUAGCAGUGAAAUGCGUAGAUAUGUGGAGGAACACCGAUGGCGAAGGCAGCCCCCUGGGUCAAGAUUGACGCUCAUGCACGAAAGCGUGGGGAGCAAACAGGAUUAGAAACCCCGGUAGUCCC
RNAcentral lists this ribosomal RNA (470 nucleotides) under uncultured organism. RNAcentral's name for it is "partial 16S ribosomal RNA". It matches the Rfam family "Bacterial small subunit ribosomal RNA", at positions 335 to 797 of the family's 1533-position model. The record is from RNAcentral.